RNAcentral lists this ribosomal RNA (509 nucleotides) under uncultured bacterium. RNAcentral describes it as "bacterial SSU rRNA". It matches the Rfam family "Bacterial small subunit ribosomal RNA", at positions 94 to 630 of the family's 1533-position model. The record is from RNAcentral.
AGUGGCGGACGGGUGAGUAGAGAGGGGGAACCUGCCUUGGAGUGGGGGAUAACCGAGGGAAACUUCGGCUAAUACCGCAUGCGCCCCGGCGCGAGCCGGGGGAAAGAUUGAUCGCUCCAAGAGGGGCCCGCGUCGGAUUAGGUAGUUGGUGGGGUAACGGCCUACCAAGCCUGUGAUCCGUAGCUGGUCUGAGAGGAUGAUCAGCCACACUGGGACUGAGACACGGCCCAGACUCCUACGGGAGGCAGCAGUGGGGAAUAUUGGACAAUGGGCGCAAGCCUGAUCCAGCAAUGCCGCGUGAGUGAUGAAGGCCUUAGGGUUGUAAAGCUCUUUCGGCGGGGACGAUGAUGACGGUACCCGCAAAAGAAGCCCCGGCUAACUUCGUGCCAGCAGCCGCGGUAAUACGAAGGGGGCGAGCGUUGUUCGGAUUUACUGGGCGUAAAGGGCGCGUAGGCGGCGGACCGAGUCGAGUGUGAAAGCCCCGGGCUCAACCUGGGAGGUGCGCUUGA